This 396-nucleotide ribosomal RNA is filed under the name uncultured bacterium. Its description in RNAcentral is "partial 16S ribosomal RNA". It matches the Rfam family "Bacterial small subunit ribosomal RNA", at positions 523 to 917 of the family's 1533-position model. The record is from RNAcentral.
CUACGUAGGGGGCGAGCGUUGUCCGGAAUGAUUGGGCGUAAAGGGCGCGUAGGCGGCGCGGUAAGUCUGGAGUGAAAGUCCUGCUUUCAAGGUGGGAAUUGCUUUGGAUACUGCCGCGCUUGAGUGCAGGAGAGGUUAUCGGAAUUCCCGGUGUAGCGGUGAAAUGCGUAGAGAUCGGGAGGAACACCAGUGGCGAAGGCGGGUAACUGGACUGCAACUGACGCGGAGGCGCGAAAGUGUGGGGAGCAAACAGGAUUAGAUACCCUGGUAGUCCACACUGUAAACGAUGAAUGCUAGGUGUAAGAGGUAUCGACCCCUUUUGUGCCGGAGUCAACACAAUAAGCAUUCCGCCUGGGGAGUACGGCCGCAAGGUUGAAACUCAAAGGAAUUGACGGG